CUGACUCAAAGAACAAACACUUAUUUUAAACUGGAUCUAAAACUGUUGGGUUGUGUUCAUCCCUACAGGAUCAGAUAUAAUGAGCCUAUCAGAGCCAAGAUCCAGAAGACCUGUGACAGGAAGUGAAGACACACAGAGAGGAACUCUGAGUCCUGCGGCAGGAAGCGGUCCUUCUCUCCAAGAACUCCUGGAGCCAGGCCUGCAAGCUGGUCCAGAACUAGAGUCCAACCGGUCGACCUCGUGAAGUUAAACUAAACUACACAAUUAUUAAGGAUCAUGUUUAAAGUUUAAAAUGGAUGCUUUCAGACUGCAGGGUUUCCCACACAUAGACUCUACUUGUAUACAGGUAUAUUAACGGCCGCCAAAGUAUAUUUCGCGACCCAUUUUUUGUUUUGUCCGCAAGCACGACGCCAUCUGCGAUCGAUUAACGAGUGGACAAUGAUCCCUCGCUCUACGCCUCCUGUAGAGCGAGGGAUACUCGAAUACUGAAUGUUCCUUCUGUAUCAGAGUAGCACAUGAUAACAGAGGCCCUACGUAGCUGUGUACGUAGCUGUGUACGUAGUCGGAUGUCUGACUACAUGGAUGGUGCUCAUGAGACACUGUGUUGAAGUUAUGAUAGCUAUGUUCCUCAGAUUGGCAUGAGGACACAGCCCCUAGAGCAAGGGUGUCAAACUCAAUUUCCUCUCGGGCCACAUUAGCAUCAUGGUUGCACUCAAAGGGCCAAUUGUAUAUAUA
Molecule: long non-coding RNA, 735 nt
Organism: Trematomus bernacchii (emerald rockcod)
Lineage: Eukaryota; Metazoa; Chordata; Actinopteri; Perciformes; Nototheniidae
Exons: 3
Source: RefSeq, a predicted model, not a curated record